CCUGGCUCAGAUUGAACGCUGGCGGCAGGCCUAACACAUGCAAGUCGAGCGAGAAAGGUCUUCGGACUGAGUACAGCGGCGGACGGGUGAGUAAAGCGUAGGAAUCUACCUGGUAGUGGGGGAUAACUUGGGGAAACUCAAACUAAUACCGCAUACGCCCUACGGGGGAAAGCGGGGGACCUUCGGGCCUCGCGCUAUCAGAUGAGCCUGCGUAGGAUUAGCUAGUUGGUGAGGUAAAGGCUCACCAAGGCGACGAUCCUUAGCUGGUCUGAGAGGAUGAUCAGCCACACUGGGACUGAGACACGGCCCAGACUCCUACGGGAGGCAGCAGUGGGGAAUAUUGCGCAAUGGGCGAAAGCCUGACGCAGCCAUGCCGCGUGUGUGAAGAAGGCCUUAGGGUUGUAAAGCACUUUCAAUUGGGAAGAAAAGUUGGUCGUUAAUAGCGGCCAGCUCUGACAUUACCUUUAGAAGAAGGACCGGCUAACUCCGUG
RNAcentral lists this ribosomal RNA (491 nucleotides) under uncultured bacterium. RNAcentral describes it as "bacterial SSU rRNA". It matches the Rfam family "Bacterial small subunit ribosomal RNA", at positions 18 to 507 of the family's 1533-position model. The record is from RNAcentral.